This 497-nucleotide ribosomal RNA is filed under the name uncultured bacterium. RNAcentral's name for it is "partial 16S ribosomal RNA". It matches the Rfam family "Bacterial small subunit ribosomal RNA", at positions 28 to 507 of the family's 1533-position model. The record is from RNAcentral.
GAUGAACGCUGGCGGCGUGCCUAAUACAUGCAAGUCGAGCGAACAGACGAGGAGCUUGCUCCUCUGACGUUAGCGGCGGACGGGUGAGUAACACGUGGAUAACCUACCUAUAAGACUGGGAUAACUUCGGGAAACCGGAGCUAAUACCGGAUAAUAUAUUGAACCGCAUGGUUCAAUAGUGAAAGACGGUUUUGCUGUCACUUAUAGAUGGAUCCGCGCCGCAUUAGCUAGUUGGUAAGGUAACGGCUUACCAAGGCAACGAUGAGUAGCCGACCUGAGAGGGUGAUCGGCCACACUGGAACUGAGACACGGUCCAGACUCCUACGGGGGGCAGCAGUAGGGAAUCUUCCGCAAUGGGCGAAAGCCUGACGGAGCAACGCCGCGUGAGUGAUGAAGGUCUUCGGAUCGUAAAACUCUGUUAUUAGGGAAGAACAAAUGUGUAAGUAACUAUGCACGUCUUGACGGUACCUAAUCAGAAAGCCACGGCUAACUACGUG